RNAcentral lists this ribosomal RNA (495 nucleotides) under uncultured bacterium. Its description in RNAcentral is "partial 16S ribosomal RNA". It matches the Rfam family "Bacterial small subunit ribosomal RNA", at positions 28 to 507 of the family's 1533-position model. The record is from RNAcentral.
GACGAACGCUGGCGGCGUGCCUAAUACAUGCACGUAGAACGCUGAAGGCGGAGCUUGCUUCUCUGGAUGAGUUGCGAACGGGUGAGUAACGCGUAGGUAACCUGCCUGGUAGCGGGGGAUAACUAUUGGAAACGAUAGCUAAUACCGCAUAAUAGUAGAUGUUGCAUGACAUUUGCUUAAAAGGUGCAAUUGCAUCACUACCAGAUGGACCUGCGUUGUAUUAGCUAGUUGGUGGGGUAACGGCUCACCAAGGCGACGAUACAUAGCCGACCUGAGAGGGUGAUCGGCCACACUGGGACUGAGACACGGCCCAGACUCCUACGGGAGGCAGCAGUAGGGAAUCUUCGGAAAUGGACGGAAGUCUGACCGAGCAACGCCGCGUGAGUGAAGAAGGUUUUCGGAUCGUAAAGCUCUGUUGUAAGAGAAGAACGAGUGUGAGAGUGGAAAGUUCACACUGUGACGGUAUCUUACCAGAAAGGGACGGCUAACUACGUG